This 602-nucleotide long non-coding RNA is filed under the name Medicago truncatula (barrel medic). Its description in RNAcentral is "lncRNA gene1845". Lineage: Eukaryota; Viridiplantae; Streptophyta; Magnoliopsida; Fabales; Fabaceae. The record is from RNAcentral.
AUGCCGCCUCCAUCAUUGCUACUUUGCCACAAACAACAGCAGCUGUCACUGAGCCUCUGGUACACACUCUGCCUCAAGGUAUUAACAUCAACACACAGCACAGAAGCAUCCCCGUAACCAAGACUAUGGAAGAGAUGAUGGAGGAACUUGCUAAAGAACUCCGUCACGAGAUCCAGGCCAAUCGAGGGAAUGCAGACUCUGUCAAAACUCAAGACCUUUGCUUAGUGUCAAAAGUGGAUGUUCCUAAAAAGUUCAAGAUUCCGGACUUCGACCGGUACAACGGGCUAACUUGUCCUCAAAAUCACAUCAUCAAAUACGUCCGGAAGAUGGGCAAUUACAAAGACAAUGAUUCCCUUAUGAUCCACUGUUUUCAGGAUAGUCUGAUGGAGGAUGCCGCAGAGUGGUAUACUAGUUUGAGUAAGAAUGACAUCCAUACCUUUGAUGAGUUAGCCACCGCUUUCAAGAGCCAUUAUGGGUUUAACACUCGACUGAGGCCAAAUAGGGAGUUUCUCAGGUCCCUAUCUCAGAAGAAGGAGGAAAGUUUCCGUGAAUAUGCGCAAAGGUGGAGAGGGGCGGCUGCCCGUAUCACUCCUGCUUUAGAU